GAUGAACGCUGGCGGCGUGCCUAAUACAUGCAAGUCGAGCGAACGGACGAGAAGCUUGCUUCUCUGAUGUUAGCGGCGGACGGGUGAGUAACACGUGGAUAACCUACCUAUAAGACUGGGAUAACUUCGGGAAACCGGAGCUAAUGCCGGAUAAUAUUUUGAACCGCAUGGUUCAAAAGUGAAAGACGGUCUUGCUGUCACUUAUAGAUGGAUCCGCGCUGCAUUAGCUAGUUGGUAAGGUAACGGCUUACCAAGGCAACGAUGCAUAGACGACCUGAGAGGGUGAUCGGCCACACUGGAACUGAGACACGGUCCAGACUCCUACGGGAGGCAGCAGUAGAGAAUCUUCCGCAAUGGGCGAAAGCCUGACGGAGCAACGCCGCGUGAGUGAUGAAGGUCUUCGGAUCGUAAAACUCUGUUAUUAGGGAAGAACAUAUGUGUAAGUAACUGUGCACAUCUUGACGGUACCUAAUCAGAAAGCCACGGCUAACUACGUG
RNAcentral lists this ribosomal RNA (497 nucleotides) under uncultured bacterium. RNAcentral's name for it is "partial 16S ribosomal RNA". It matches the Rfam family "Bacterial small subunit ribosomal RNA", at positions 28 to 507 of the family's 1533-position model. The record is from RNAcentral.